AAACCAAAUAAAAGUCCAAUAUUAACACUCUAAAUAUUACAACCCCAACUUACAAACCCAAAUUUAAAACCCAAAAUAAAAAACCUAAGCCCAACCCUAUAGCCCACAACCUAAACAUCCCAUCAGCUAAGCAAAAAACCCUAGCCCUAUGUGCGCCGUACCCCUCCCUCGGUCACUUUGCUGGCGCCUCAUCCCGAGGAUCCUCGCCUCAAGGCAUGGCACCUUAGGCCACCUUGCACCGAAAUAGCAAGAUCUCUACUUCAUUGACCUUGCACAGAUCUGCAAAGAAGCCGAAAAAGAACAAAAAACAGGGCAAAGAAACACGCAAAGCAGAAAAGAAACAGAAAGCAACAAGUAGGAAAUAGUAGCAAAAUAUAAAUAAAUAGAGAUUAUUCGGCUAUAAGAGGGGGAACCGAUUGUAUUUUCAAGGGUUUUUUUUGGAAUAUAUAAAAAAAGAUUGUAUUACACACGAAUAUUAGAGAAUCAAAAAGCAAAAAUACAGAAGAAAAAGGUUGAUUUUGAUAUCCGUUUCUCUUGUUCAUUUCGUUCAUUUUUUAUUUGUGAUUUAUCUCUUUAUUUUUAUUAUAAAUCAAUUUUAAACAAAAAAUAAAAGAGAAGCUUACUCGAAUCCGAUCUUGGCGUGGCUCCGACCACCGUCCACGGUGGAGCCAAGGUGGUUCGACGACGGUGCUAUGAUGGGUUUUCAAAACCCUAGCAAAAGGGAAAAAAGGAGAAAGGGGGGGCUUAAAAGUUUUUUUUUU
RNAcentral lists this long non-coding RNA (761 nucleotides) under Gossypium barbadense (sea-island cotton). RNAcentral describes it as "long non-coding RNA (GBAR_LNC007317)". The record is from RNAcentral. Lineage: Eukaryota; Viridiplantae; Streptophyta; Magnoliopsida; Malvales; Malvaceae.